RNAcentral lists this ribosomal RNA (316 nucleotides) under uncultured Methanosaeta sp. Its description in RNAcentral is "bacterial SSU rRNA". It matches the Rfam family "Archaeal small subunit ribosomal RNA", at positions 1029 to 1338 of the family's 1478-position model. The record is from RNAcentral. Lineage: Archaea; Methanobacteriati; Methanobacteriota; Methanomicrobia; Methanotrichales; Methanotrichaceae.
GUAAGUCAGGCAACGAGCGAGACCCACGUCCACAGUUGCCAGCAUACCCUACCGGGGUGGAAUGGGGUACACGUGUGGAGACCGCCGCUGCUAAAGCGGAGGAAGGAAUGGGCAACGGUAGGUCAGUAUGCCCCGAAUCUCCCGGGCUACACGCGGGCUACAAUGGUUGGUACAAUGGGCAUCUACCCCGAAAGGGGAAGGAAAUCUCUUAAAGCCAAUCGUAGUUCGGAUUGAGGGCUGCAACUCGCCCUCAUGAAGCUGGAAUCCGUAGUAAUCGCGUUUCAACAGAACGCGGUGAAUACGUCCCUGCCUCCUU